AGUUUAAUGCGCGUACGCUGGGAAGAGAGAGAGAGAGAGAGAGACAGAGAGAGAAGUUAGAAUCAACCGAGAGCACGAGCGCGUACGACGAAGACGUGGCCGAAACUGAUGAUCGUUCCUUGCCUUCGGUUCGUGACAAACGCGUUGUACCACCGACGGAUGGAUGAACACACGGUGAGACGGAUUUUCGUCGACGGCCACGUUUAGUUGUUUGUCGCGUUGUGCAGCGGCGCUCAUGACGUCGGGACGCCCACCACCUGUGGUGCUCACCCUCUUUUCCUCGCGGCCAGCCAUCCUUCCGCGCGCGCCACACUUCCGCGCACACGCGUUACGUCGUCCUUUCGGCCCGCUUCCCCUUCGUGCUUUGCCUUCUAAUCGAGUGGGGGGAAACAGAUUUUAAAUUUUCGUCUUUGCUGUCGCUGUCAUCGCAAGUGUUCGCCAUCAUCCCAUACCGUUUGACCUGUCGUUUCGUUACAUUCUCGUAUUCUACGGAGUUAUCGUAUAAAAGAAUCAAGAAUCUUGUAAUACAGAACGAGAAAUAACAGUUUUAAUUUUCAAAAUUUUGAAAAUGGCAAGGAAUAGGUAUUAAGUGAUAUGUGAGUGGAAAAUGUGCAGUCGCUACGAAAUCGUAUGAUGUAACAUUACGCAGUUUAUCGAUGUUCCAGAAGCGGUGGCGCAUUUAUCGUCGCUUAUAGCUCCAUUUACGUACAAACACGCGUAAGUGCUUGUACGUGCGUAUUCGCAGAUGCGACCUACGUCCCUACGGAAUUCUAGAGCUGGUCAAUGUAUAGUUACAUAUACAAAGGGAGAAUAUAACCGGCGUGUACACGCAAAACUAGACACGAGUGUUUAUCCCCUGUGCGAUCCUUACAUUGGGGGCAAUUUAUAGGGGAAAAAAGUUGUGCGAGAUUAUGGCAAUCGCGCCACGCGUGUUUCUCUAAUAAACAUGUAUUUUUACUUGCGAGAAGAAAUCGUCGGAAAAAUUUUUUCGGUUUGACGUGAAAAAGAUUAAGAUAUUCAUACGAAUCGCAAAUUAAGAUAAAUAAGAUUUAACACGAACUAGCAACAUAUUUGCUGCAUACGUAUAUAAAUUUUAAAAUACUUACAGACUCUUUAAAAUUCAUUUUCACUUCGAAUUUUCUAAUUAUUUAUUCAAAAUUAAAUACAUAUUAUUGUCAAAAUUCAUAUUCUAUUGCAAGGAAUAAAAUAUAUCUUGAUAUUUAUUCGGAUAAUUAUAUUAAAAUAAAUAAAUACUGAUAAUAAAAAAAUAGUAACCUCUUUAAAAAUUGAGAACUUGAAUUACUGUUCCAAAUAUACAUAUAUGCUAUAUAAAUUACGAAAAAGAAAAUUUUAAUUUUUGUCGUGUAAUCUUGUAAUAAUUAGAUUUGUAUUUAUUAUAUAUAAUAACCAAUAAUUUACGAUGAAUGUAUAAAUAAUCUCGCCAAAUGAUGUUCGUCUAAUAAAUUUAGUAAAAAAAAAAAAACGAUAA
Molecule: long non-coding RNA, 1489 nt
Organism: Apis cerana (Asiatic honeybee)
Lineage: Eukaryota; Metazoa; Arthropoda; Insecta; Hymenoptera; Apidae
Source: RefSeq, a predicted model, not a curated record